RNAcentral lists this ribosomal RNA (497 nucleotides) under uncultured bacterium. Its description in RNAcentral is "partial 16S ribosomal RNA". It matches the Rfam family "Bacterial small subunit ribosomal RNA", at positions 28 to 507 of the family's 1533-position model. The record is from RNAcentral.
GAUGAACGCUGGCGGCGUGCCUAAUACAUGCAAGUCGAGCGAACGGACGAGAAGCUUGCUUCUCUGAUGUUAGCGGCGGACGGGUGAGUAACACGUGGAUAACCUACCUAUAAGACUGGGAUAACUUCGGGAAACCGUAGCUAAUACCGGAUAAUAUUUUGAACCGCAUGGUUCAAAAGUGAAAGACGGUCUUGCUGUCACUUAUAGAUGGAUCCGCGCUGCAUUAGCUAGUUGGUAAGGUAACGGCUUACCAAGGCAACGAUGCAUAGCCGACCUGAGAGGGUGAUCGGCCACACUGGAACUGAGACACGGUCCAGACUCCUACGGGAGGCAGCAGUAGGGAAUCUUCCGCAAUGGGCGAAAGCCUGACGGAGCAACGCCGCGCGAGUGAUGAAGGUCUUCGGAUCGUAAAACUCUGUUAUUAGGGAAGAACAUAUGUGUAAGUAACUGUGCAUAUCUUGACGGUACCUAAUCAGAAAGCCACGGCUAACUACGUG